Diceros bicornis minor is the source of this 126-nucleotide small nuclear RNA. NCBI's taxonomy places the organism in Eukaryota, Metazoa, Chordata, Mammalia, Perissodactyla, Rhinocerotidae. The record is from RefSeq and is a predicted model, not a curated record.
GUAGUGUAUGAAAACAGAGGAGGUUAGCAUUCUCUCUGACAAGGAUGGAAGAGGCCCUUGGGCCUGACAACAAGCAUAUGGGUAAAGCCUUGCCACCUACUUUGUGGCAUCUAAGCAUCAUCUUUU